GUGAACAAGCCCUUAUCCUCAAAUACGACUGUGAACAAGGGCGUAUUCUCUGACGCAACAGUGAACAAGGAAGGCGAUAAUCCGCUAAUAAAUGAAGGAAUUGGUUCAACAAGCAGUAUAUCAGAGUACUUGAUGGAGACGCUGCCAGGCUGGCAUGUCGAAGACCUUCUUGAUUUCCCUUCUACUCCCUUUGGUUUCUGUAAGCCUGAUGAUGGGAUAUUGCCGUUUGUGGGUAAUGACCUUGGGAGCAAUAUUACCCCUUUCUCUUCGGAAACCAUGGGAAUCUGGGUCCCUAAAGCGCCAACUCCUCUAUACCCAUCUCAACAUUAUCCACAGAUGGGAGAGCAAAUUGGGUUAAAGGAGACAAAAGAGACCACGAACAUGAAAGGUAACAACAGAAGGUGGGCUGAUGAUGCAUUUACUGUUCCACAGAUCAGCCCUCCCUCCUCUGGCUCCAAGAGAUCUAUUUCGUUCCGGUAGAACAAAAUUGACAUGCUCUUACGCGAGUACUAUCAAGAACAAGGCCUAAUGCUUUGUAUUUUUGAAAUGUUUUGUUAAUCGAGUAUCUACGGAUCUGGUUUGAAUCGUGCAUUUCUACCCCUCUGGCUUUUUGUACUUGAUCCAAUUGGAUUUUGUUUCUGUUUUUCGCUUGUACUUGCAAAGUGUAGACGUCUUUUGUAUAUAUGAAUGAAUGAGCUUUUUUCCAAAAGACGUCUACACUUUGCAAGUACAA
RNAcentral lists this unclassified non-coding RNA (733 nucleotides) under Hevea brasiliensis (rubber tree). The record is from RNAcentral. Lineage: Eukaryota; Viridiplantae; Streptophyta; Magnoliopsida; Malpighiales; Euphorbiaceae.